CCUCAUGUUUGUGAUGGGCGUGAACCACGAGAAGUACAACAACUCCCUCAAGCUUGUCAGCAAUGCGUCCUGCACCACCAACUGCUUAAGAGUGGAAGAGAGGCGGUGUAGGUAAAGAGU
Leopardus geoffroyi (Geoffroy's cat) is the source of this 120-nucleotide long non-coding RNA. RefSeq lists it as uncharacterized. The transcript has 3 exons. NCBI's taxonomy places the organism in Eukaryota, Metazoa, Chordata, Mammalia, Carnivora, Felidae. The record is from RefSeq and is a predicted model, not a curated record.